This 179-nucleotide unclassified non-coding RNA is filed under the name Phaeoacremonium fraxinopennsylvanicum. Its description in RNAcentral is "internal trancribed spacer 1". Lineage: Eukaryota; Fungi; Ascomycota; Sordariomycetes; Togniniales; Togniniaceae. The record is from RNAcentral.
CCGAGUCUCGUACUCCAAACCCUUUGUGAACAUACCUGUUUCGUUGCUUCGGCAGGCCCGGGGGUCACUCCCCGGCCCGCCGCCGGCACCCCCUCGCCGGGGCGCAUGGCGGGCCUGCCGGAGGGCACAGACUCUGUAUUCAAAAACGUACCUCUCUGAGUUAUCUUUACAAACAAGUA